GAUGAACGCUGGCGGCGUGCCUAAUACAUGCAAGUCGAGCGAACAGAUGAGGAGCUUGCUCCUCUGACGUUAGCGGCGGACGGGUGAGUAACACGUGGAUAACCUACCUAUAAGACUGGGAUAACUUCGGGAGACCGGAGCUAAUACCGGAUAAUAUAUUGAACCGCAUGGUUCAAUAGUGAAAGACGGUUUUGCUGUCACUUAUAGAUGGAUCCGCGCCGCAUUAGCUAGUUGGUAAGGUAACGGCUUACCAAGGCAACGAUGCGUAGCCGACCUGAGAGGGUGAUCGGCCACACUGGAACUGAGACACGGUCCAGACUCCUACGGGAGGCAGCAGUAGGGAAUCUUCCGCAAUGGGCGAAAGCCUGACGGAGCAACGCCGCGUGAGUGAUGAAGGUCUUCGGAUCGUAAAACUCUGUUAUUAGGGAAGAACAAAUGUGUAAGUAACUAUGCACGUCUUGACGGUACCUAAUCAGAAAGCCACGGCUAACUACGUG
Molecule: ribosomal RNA, 497 nt
Filed under: uncultured bacterium
Lineage: Bacteria
Description: partial 16S ribosomal RNA
Rfam family: Bacterial small subunit ribosomal RNA
Source: RNAcentral